This 2933-nucleotide ribosomal RNA is filed under the name Enterobacter hormaechei. Its description in RNAcentral is "23S ribosomal RNA". It matches the Rfam family "Bacterial large subunit ribosomal RNA". The record is from RNAcentral. Lineage: Bacteria; Pseudomonadati; Pseudomonadota; Gammaproteobacteria; Enterobacterales; Enterobacteriaceae.
GGGUUGUGAGGUUAAGCGACUAAGCGUACACGGUGGAUGCCCUGGCAGUCAGAGGCGAUGAAGGACGUGCUAAUCUGCGAAAAGCGCCGGCGAGGUGAUAUGAACCUUUGACCCGGCGAUGUCCGAAUGGGGAAACCCAGUGCAAUCCGUUGCACUAUCGUUAACUGAAUACAUAGGUUAACGAGGCGAACCGGGGGAACUGAAACAUCUAAGUACCCCGAGGAAAAGAAAUCAACCGAGAUUCCCCCAGUAGCGGCGAGCGAACGGGGAGCAGCCCGGAGUCUGAAUCAGCUUGUGUGUUAGUGGAACGGUCUGGAAAGUCCGACGGUACAGGGUGAUAGUCCCGUACACGAAAGCACACAUGCUGUGAACUCGAAGAGUAGGGCGGGACACGUGGUAUCCUGUCUGAAUAUGGGGGGACCAUCCUCCAAGGCUAAAUACUCCUGACUGACCGAUAGUGAACCAGUACCGUGAGGGAAAGGCGAAAAGAACCCCGGCGAGGGGAGUGAAAAAGAACCUGAAACCGUGUACGUACAAGCAGUGGGAGCCUCUUUAUGGGGUGACUGCGUACCUUUUGUAUAAUGGGUCAGCGACUUAUAUUCUGUAGCAAGGUUAACCGUAUAGGGGAGCCGAAGGGAAACCGAGUCUUAACUGGGCGUUAAGUUGCAGGGUAUAGACCCGAAACCCGGUGAUCUAGCCAUGGGCAGGUUGAAGGUUGGGUAACACUAACUGGAGGACCGAACCGACUAAUGUUGAAAAAUUAGCGGAUGACCUGUGGCUGGGGGUGAAAGGCCAAUCAAACCGGGAGAUAGCUGGUUCUCCCCGAAAGCUAUUUAGGUAGCGCCUCGUGAACUCAUCUUCGGGGGUAGAGCACUGUUUCGGCUAGGGGGCCAUCCCGGCUUACCAACCCGAUGCAAACUACGAAUACCGAAGAAUGUUAUCACGGGAGACACACGGCGGGUGCUAACGUCCGUCGUGAAGAGGGAAACAACCCAGACCGCCAGCUAAGGUCCCAAAGUCAUGGUUAAGUGGGAAACGAUGUGGGAAGGCACAGACAGCCAGGAUGUUGGCUUAGAAGCAGCCAUCAUUUAAAGAAAGCGUAAUAGCUCACUGGUCGAGUCGGCCUGCGCGGAAGAUGUAACGGGGCUAAACCAUGCACCGAAGCUGCGGCAGCGACGCUUAUGCGUUGUUGGGUAGGGGAGCGUUCUGUAAGCCGUUGAAGGUGUCCUGUGAGGGGUGCUGGAGGUAUCAGAAGUGCGAAUGCUGACAUAAGUAACGAUAAAGCGGGUGAAAAGCCCGCUCGCCGGAAGACCAAGGGUUCCUGUCCAACGUUAAUCGGGGCAGGGUGAGUCGACCCCUAAGGCGAGGCCGAAAGGCGUAGUCGAUGGGAAACAGGUUAAUAUUCCUGUACUUGGUGUUACUGCGAAGGGGGGACGGAGAAGGCUAUGUCAGCCGGGCGACGGUUGUCCCGGUUUAAGCAUGUAGGCGGAGGUUCCAGGUAAAUCCGGUACCUUAUUAACGCUGAGGUGUGAUGACGAGGCACUACGGUGCUGAAGUGAUAAAUGCCCUGCUUCCAGGAAAAGCCUCUAAGCAUCAGGUAACACGAAAUCGUACCCCAAACCGACACAGGUGGUCAGGUAGAGAAUACCAAGGCGCUUGAGAGAACUCGGGUGAAGGAACUAGGCAAAAUGGUGCCGUAACUUCGGGAGAAGGCACGCUGAUAUGUAGGUGAAGUCCCUGCGGACGGAGCUGAAAUCAGUCGAAGAUACCAGCUGGCUGCAACUGUUUAUUAAAAACACAGCACUGUGCAAACACGAAAGUGGACGUAUACGGUGUGACGCCUGCCCGGUGCCGGAAGGUUAAUUGAUGGGGUUAGCGGCAACGCGAAGCUCUUGAUCGAAGCCCCGGUAAACGGCGGCCGUAACUAUAACGGUCCUAAGGUAGCGAAAUUCCUUGUCGGGUAAGUUCCGACCUGCACGAAUGGCGUAAUGAUGGCCAGGCUGUCUCCACCCGAGACUCAGUGAAAUUGAACUCGCUGUGAAGAUGCAGUGUACCCGCGGCAAGACGGAAAGACCCCGUGAACCUUUACUAUAGCUUGACACUGAACACUGGUCCUUGAUGUGUAGGAUAGGUGGGAGGCUUUGAAGCGUGGACGCCAGUCUGCGUGGAGCCAACCUUGAAAUACCACCCUUUAAUGGCUGGUGUUCUAACGUAGACCCGUAAUCCGGGUUGCGGACAGUGUCUGGUGGGUAGUUUGACUGGGGCGGUCUCCUCCCAAAGAGUAACGGAGGAGCACGAAGGUUGGCUAAUCCUGGUCGGACAUCAGGAGGUUAGUGCAAUGGCAUAAGCCAGCUUGACUGCGAGCGUGACGGCGCGAGCAGGUGCGAAAGCAGGUCAUAGUGAUCCGGUGGUUCUGAAUGGAAGGGCCAUCGCUCAACGGAUAAAAGGUACUCCGGGGAUAACAGGCUGAUACCGCCCAAGAGUUCAUAUCGACGGCGGUGUUUGGCACCUCGAUGUCGGCUCAUCACAUCCUGGGGCUGAAGUAGGUCCCAAGGGUAUGGCUGUUCGCCAUUUAAAGUGGUACGCGAGCUGGGUUUAGAACGUCGUGAGACAGUUCGGUCCCUAUCUGCCGUGGGCGCUGGAGAAUUGAGGGGGGCUGCUCCUAGUACGAGAGGACCGGAGUGGACGCAUCACUGGUGUUCGGGUUGUCAUGCCAAUGGCACUGCCCGGUAGCUAAAUGCGGAAGAGAUAAGUGCUGAAAGCAUCUAAGCACGAAACUUGCCCCGAGAUGAGUUCUCCCUGAGACCUUGAGUCUCCUGAAGGAACGUUGAAGACGACGACGUUGAUAGGUCGGGUGUGUAAGCGCAGCGAUGCGUUGAGCUAACCGAUACUAAUGAACCGUGAGGCUUAACCUUACAACGCCGAAGGUGUUU